UACGUAGGGGGCGAGCGUUGUUCGGAUUUAUUGGGCGUAAAGAGCGUGUAGGCGGCCAGGUAGGUCUGCUGUGAAAACUCGAGGCUCAACCUCGAGACGUCGGCGGAAACCAUCUGGCUAGAGUCCGGAAGAGGAGAGUGGAAUUCCUGGUGUAGCGGUGAAAUGCGCAGAUAUCAGGAAGAACACCCGUGGCGAAGGCGGCUCUCUGGACCGUUACUGACGCUGAGAUACGAAAGCGUGGGUAGCAAACAGG
RNAcentral lists this ribosomal RNA (253 nucleotides) under uncultured bacterium. RNAcentral describes it as "partial 16S ribosomal RNA". It matches the Rfam family "Bacterial small subunit ribosomal RNA", at positions 524 to 776 of the family's 1533-position model. The record is from RNAcentral.